Macaca fascicularis (crab-eating macaque) is the source of this 148-nucleotide unclassified non-coding RNA. It matches the Rfam family "Metazoan signal recognition particle RNA". From Rfam's summary of the family: The signal recognition particle (SRP) is a universally conserved ribonucleoprotein. The record is from Ensembl. Lineage: Eukaryota; Metazoa; Chordata; Mammalia; Primates; Cercopithecidae.
GCCAGGCAUGGGUGGUGUGUGCCUGUAGUCCUAGCUACUCAGGAGGCUGAGGCAGGAGGAUCACUUGAGCGUGGGAGGUUCAGGCUGCAGUGAGCCGUGUUCGUCCACUGCACUCUAGCCUAGGCCACAGAGUGAAACCCUGUCUCAG